AUCAAGUUGUCCCCCCAGCCGCCAGAUGACGCCAGUGUCUGAGAGGACGAAACUUAUCGCCAUUUUGUUCCGAAACGCCAAGUGGAAAGGUAUUCCAAAUUCGUUACGGAAUUGCAGGUGUCGAUCUACAUUUUCAGCAUUGAAAUUUAAUGGCAAUCUGGCAUAUAAUUUCCGCUUGGCCAAAUAAUCGAUCACGUGGACUGGAACUGCUUUCUAUUUUGCCGAAAUGUCGUCGGUUGUUAGCUGUACCUGUUCGGAUGGACGUCUCAUCUCACGCAGAAACACUACAGAGUUGGUGUUCAGGUUGGAGAUCCCGUUGCCUAACUGUUGCAGAAUGUGAGAACUCAACAAAGUCUGAGCUCCAUGGCCGGCAUCAUUACAGUGGUUUUGUUGCAGCCAGCUGGUGAAAGGCGUGAUUGAGUCAAGUUGAGCUGCAGCUGCUGCAUGCAGUUUAUCGAGCUGGUGUUAUCCUGAAGGGUCAUUGCAGGAAGAUUUUUUGAAAUGGACUUGGUGAUACUUAAACUAUGCCUGUGCUGUUUAAUGUGCAGUGGUUUUGCAGCCUGUUUCCAGUUGAGAGGUGUGAUUAUGCAGCUGAUACAGGAUUGAAGAAAAGAACUGAAGUAGCUGUUCUGGUGUUCUCCUGAAAUUGCUGUGCCACAAGAGUUGAAGAUAGUGUUUGGUUCCUGAUAGAAGUUUAUUUAAAGAGUCUGAGAUGAUCACCCACUUCUGCCAAUAACUUAUGUAAAACUUCUAAGUUGUAAGAAAUAUACAAGUCAAGUGCUAAA
RNAcentral lists this long non-coding RNA (785 nucleotides) under Daphnia pulex (common water flea). RNAcentral describes it as "uncharacterized LOC124196661". The record is from RNAcentral. Lineage: Eukaryota; Metazoa; Arthropoda; Branchiopoda; Diplostraca; Daphniidae.